RNAcentral lists this ribosomal RNA (439 nucleotides) under uncultured bacterium. Its description in RNAcentral is "partial 16S ribosomal RNA". It matches the Rfam family "Bacterial small subunit ribosomal RNA", at positions 338 to 795 of the family's 1533-position model. The record is from RNAcentral.
CCUACGGGAGGCAGCAGUGGGGAAUAUUGCACAAUGGGGGAAACCCUGAUGCAGCGACGCCGCGUGAAGGAAGAAGGACUUCGGUAUGUAAACUUCUAUCAGCAGGGAAGAAAAUGACGGUACCUGACUAAGAAGCCCCGGCUAACUACGUGCCAGCAGCCGCGGGAAUACGUAGGGGCAAGCGGUAUCCGGAUUUACUGGGUGUAAAGGGAGCGUAGGCGGCGAUGCAAGGCAGAAGUGAAAGCCCGGGGCUCAACUCCGGGAUUGCUUUUGAAACUGUAUGGCUGGAUUGGAGGAGAGGCAAGUGGAAUUCCUAGUGUAGCGGUGAAAUGCGUAGAUAUUAGGAGGAACACCAGUGGCGAAGGCGGCUUGCUGGACUGUAAAUGACGCUGAGGCUCGAAAGCGUGGGGAGCAAACAGGAUUAGAUACCCCUGUAGUC